This 24329-nucleotide long non-coding RNA is filed under the name Hordeum vulgare. RNAcentral's name for it is "long non-coding RNA (HVUL_LNC006280)". Lineage: Eukaryota; Viridiplantae; Streptophyta; Magnoliopsida; Poales; Poaceae. The record is from RNAcentral.
UGUAUCUAAGUAGCGUAGCAAGGGAGGGGUUUGUCAAUCCUAGUAACACCAAGUCUACCAGAUCAUUGUUUUGUCAUAUCGCCUAAAUUUUAAUACUGUAGUAUUUAUUUACAAAUAAAAAGUCCUAGGCCUAGUAAUACAUUAAAGAGGGAACUUCUGUGGUCUAUUUUAGAUAAAAGGGGACAUAUAAUUUUCUCUAUAUAAUGGCAUGGUGCUGAUUUAGCGCUGAUACGACCUUACAACAAUAUUACAUUGUAGUGUUUUCUGCAUGGUUUUGUAUCACUAGUUUCAUGUUGCCUUCACAUUUGAGUCUAUUACUUGUUUUUGUUUUUAUCCUUGAUUAGUAUCAAUUGUUGUAUUGUAGACUUAUAAUUGUGUUAGUAUCAUUUUUUUUUUACAGAAGCUCAAGUGUGAAGUGUGAAGCCGUCAAGUGUGAACCCAAGUGUGAAGCUGUGAAGUCCUACUCAGUUUAGAGUAGCAUAUUGUAGCACAUUUGUGUUGUAAAGAUUGUAAUAGAUUUAUUUAGUCGUAUAUUUGAUCAAUUUUAUGUGUUCUUAGUUCUAUUUCAAAUUCAUUCUUGGAUUGAAAGUGGUCAAAAGACAAUAUAUUACUAUUAAAUUUAGGUUGAUUCUAAGUUUGUGAUGUCACCUGUAUUGGAUCAGAUAUAUUUGUGCCUUCAUAAUGCUAUAGAUCAAAAUGUAAAAAUCUCGAGUCUCAAAAUUUGACAAAAAUUUGAGAUCAGCAUGACAUGUGGGACCAAGUUAUGAUAUUUAUUUAACAAAAUAUGAAAUUUUUGACGAGUGGGACUAAUUUUGAGAUCAACAUGACAUGUGGGACCAGUACAAAAAUAAAAUGGCCAAAAAAGAAAAUUAAUAAAAAGUAAAAGGCCACAAACCAAAAUUCGAAAAAAAUACUAAAGUGGCUGUAAAUAGGAUAAGGCCCAAAAAUAAGCCCAAUAAGAAAAAGCCCAAAAAAAAUAAAACCAGCCCAUGUGAUCAAUUGAAAUGGGUUGGGCUGAUUUCAACCAUGACGUUUUGAUUUCAUCGUAAUUUUGCCACGUAGGACUGCCACGUAGUAGUGAGUUUGAUUGCCAACGACGAUUUAGGAUUGUCGUAAAGGUUACGACAAUCCAGGAAUCGUCGUAAAAGUUACGACAAUUUUGAUCAAAACGUCGCUGCUGUUCAUUCUUGACGCUCCGUUUUCGACGGUUGGUUUUUCGUCGUGAGAUCGUCGUAAAUUAAAAACCGUGACGAUGUAGCAACGAAAAAAUAGCGUCGUGUAUUAGCAUAUUCCUUGUAGUGUUAGUAGCAGGUAUGAGAGUAGUAACUUAGCAAGAUUCCGUAUAUGUAACGCGUAGGCACGUGGAUCAGUAGUGAAUAAUGAUUUAGAUGACAGUGAUCAUAUAACAGUUACACACUAGGGUGACACAGAACCAUAUCCAAUUCAUCAAUAUAAUAUAGGCAUGUAUUCCAUAUAUAGGCAUACGUGCUUGCGAAAAGAACUUGCAUGACAUGUUUUGUCCUACCCUCCCGUGGCAGCAGGGUCCUAUUGGAAACUAAGUGAUAUUAAGGCCUUCCUUUAGUAAAGAACCAGAACAAAGCAUUAACACAUAGUGAAUACAUGAACUCCUCCAACUACCACAAUCGCCGGACAAAAUCCCAAUUAUUGUCACCUUGGGUAUGUGGAUCAAGACACGUAAUAGGUAACUAUGACUUGCAAGAUAGGAUCCAAAUCACUCUUAUAUUCAUGAAAACAUAAUAGGUUCAGAUCUAAAAUCAUGGCACUCGGGCCCUAGUGACAAGCAUUGAGCAUAGCAAAGUCAUAGUAACAUCAGUCUCACAACAUAGUGGAUACUAGGGAUCAAGCCCUAUCAAACUUAACUCAACUACAUGAUCAAUCUCAUCCAAUUCCACUGUUGUCCAGCAAGCCUACAAAGGAAUUACCCACUCUCGGCGGUAAGCAUCAUGCCGGUGUUGAUGGAGAAGGGUUGAUGAUGACGACGACGACGAAUCCCCCUCUCCGGAGCCCCAAACAGACUCUAGAUGAGCCCUCCACAGGAAGAACAAGAGGUGGCGGCGGUUCCGUCUCGUAAAACGCGAUGAAAACUUCUCUCUUAUUUUUUUCUCGGAGAAUAUGAAUUUAUAGGACUGGAAUUAGGGUCGGAGGAGCCUCGAGGGCCCCACAAGCUGUCAGGCCGCCGCCUGGGGGGCACCCUGAUGGCUUGAGCACCCUAGAGCCCCCCCCGGCAGGUUUUCGCUCCAUAAAUCCUUAUAAAUCCCAAAAAUAAUUCACAAAAAGUUCUGUCUGCACAAAAAUAACAAAGUAGUUGUGCUGAAAACAACGUGAGUCCGGGUUAGUUCCAUUCAAAUCAUGCAAAUUAGAGGUAAAAAUGAGAGCAAAAUUGUUUGGAAAAGUAGAUACGUUGGAGACGUAUCAUUGCCUCAUACCCCUAAUAUUCCAAAUUAGGCCUAUCAUAAAUAAGAUAUUUUAAAAGGUCGAGAUAGGCCAGAAAGGCAGAACUUUAGUAUGGACAAUAGGAGUAGCCCCUAACAAAACAACACUGCCCAUUGUUUUAGGAGGGGAAACCCCUACUAGAGUCCCAACUAACUUUUCAUGUACCACAUCUAUGUUGUCACGCAAGACCACUUCAAGAUGGUCAUUAGCAAAAGCUAAGCAACUCUCUUGCUCCCUAACAAUUAAAUCUUUAAUGAUAUCCAACUUACUAGAGAUACCCCCCCUAACCAAAUCAAUCUUAGAAACUUGAUCAAUCAAGUUAUUCGGACCAUUAGAAGGCAAUGAUUUACCUUUGUGUGUUAUAGAGAUUUCCAAGUUAUUUUUCAUCUUGUAAGCAACAACUUUCUCCAUGAUGUUCAUAUUGCCAUGCCCCCGGUAGCAUAUCUGGAUGCCAUAAUUGCCCCCCCCCCACUUAGGAUUCUUGGGUGGAACCUCCUGAACCUGAUUCAGGGAGUCCAGCAACGACCUCUUCAGGCCUGAAAAUUGAAGCAUCUGCAGAGUGUCAGAGGGAAGAGUCCCUAGCAUCACAUCCUCUUUUGAGUCCAUCUCAUCCCUAUAAUCAACCAUAUCAACAGAUUUUGAUAAUGAUUCACAAUAUUCCUUAUUCUCAGAUUUUUCCAACACUCAGGCCCUAAGUUAACAGGGGUAUAAACCCCAAGCUUAUUAUUUUCUCCAAUUAUAACAUUGGGACUAGGCCCAAUUUCAUGAGUAGUCACUCGAUCAAGAGAUCCCUCACCACAGCCAUGUUUCUGUUGGGAGAAACCCCUAGCAGCAGCAACCUCCAUAAUGAAGCUUUCAUGGUCAGCAUUUGAAGAAGGUCCAAAAACAGAAGUUUUGGAUUUACCAGCAGAGCCAUAAUUCCUCUGGCCAGGGAUAUUGGAUUUGUCAAGUUGAUCAAUGGCAGUCUCACCAUCCACAAGAUCAUCAUGCAUCUCAUCCUUGGAUGGUUCAUCCUUAUCCUCCCCAUCUUCCUCAGCACCUCCUGCAUCACCAUCUUCAUCUUGAGAGACAAUAUCAAUAAUAGAGUCCAGACCACCCACCUGUUCAAAGUCCUCAACAGUAAACCCCAUCAAGAACAAUGUCCUCUUCAUUUCAAUGAACCUUUCAAAAGGAAUUUUUGUUGGAUCCCUGCAAGCAAUUUUGACCCUAACAUGCUCAAAAAAGGUUCUGAACAUUCCAUUCCAAUCAACAUCUGUUAAGAACCCAAACAUAGAAGCCACUUGGGAAAAAACUUUCCAAGUACACCAUUUAGGUGGAAUGCCUUCAAUCAGGACCCAAGCUUCCACUAAUUCCCCAAAAGGAUCACAAGCACCUUUCCAUUCAGUCAUCUUAACAACAACAUCUUGAGGGAGGCAGAAACCUGACAGCUCAAUGAGGUCCUCUACUUUCUUCCAUGGUGGAAAUCUAACCAGGAAGGUUUUGUGGGAUAUCUCCAUGAUCUGCCAUGGCCAUUGCUUUGAAUUACAGAAAGUAUUAGUCAAUAGGAUUAGGAGGAGAGCCCUAUCCACAUCAUCUUUGGUGAUAUUCACCACAACAUAAUUAUGGAAAUUAAGCGAGUUGUAUUCAUUAGCAAGAGGUACAUCCACAUGGUAAAAACCAAGCCCCCUUGCUCCACUACCAAAAACGACAGCAGUCGGUUGGAUCUUGGACCAAGCAGCACAGUUGUUAUAAUUAUGAUUCUGCUGACAGAUAAAACAGGAUUUCGGGAUGACACAACUACCAACAUAGUGACUAGGGCCCCCACAGUUGAAGCAAAUCAUAUCCUUGUACCUAGGAUCAAGCGGUUGUUCCACCUCCACCUCCAAGGCCUUGGAAGAUUGGACUUGAGAUGAAGUGGUAGUGGAAGCAGUAGAUUUGGUGGGACUUGGAGCAGGAACAGACUCCUUGGCAACCACAGAGAUUGUCUUACACACACCACCAGAGUUGGCCUUUUGCGCGGCGGCCUUUGUUGGACUAGUCACCCGAGGGCCAGAGCUCCCACCACGACGAUUCACCAUUGGAACACCCUUUUGACAAUCUCCACAAACAAGAGAGAACCAUGACCUAAGCCUUCAUGCACCAGAUCGAUAUAUUUAGGAAGUGCAUCGAAGGGGCAGCACACAGCGGGGUGGCAAUCAGCAGCCAUGAACGAGCCGGGCCUGAGCAGCUGUGAACAGUCCCCUUUCUUACCAACGAAACGGGCCUGAAAAGUGGGUCCCAUCUGUAUGUUGGAAAGAGGUGGAGAAAUCUCACCCCUCUCAAAUGAGCCAUCACCAUUGACGAUCAACGCCGUCGGCAAACGAUCCCCACCAGCCGAGCCCUCAAGUGACCCAGCCAAAGGAUCAUUUGGAACCACAUUCGUAGAAACGAAAUCCAUCUCGAUAGAAUUGUCAAUUCCGUGAGAGGAACCCCUCAAAUUUUCACCACCACAAAAUUUGCUAGCAAAAUCCCUAGAAUCUCUACCGCACCCAGCACGGAACACAAGCAAUCUAGGUUUGAAAGAGGGUGGAAGACGAACAGGAUCCAUACCUUCACCAUCAGCCCAAGGAGGGGGCUCAGGAGCUCGACGAAGCUGACGAAUCUGGGGCGAGAUCAGACAUUGCUGUGGGGGGAAGUGAUACGUCUCCAUCGUAUCUACUUUUCCAAACUCUUUUGCCCUUGUUUUGGACUCUAAUUUGCAUGAUUUGAAUGGAACUAACCUGGACUGACGUUGUUUUCAGCAGAAUUGCCUUGGUGUUGUUUUUGUGCAGAAAUGAAAGUUCUCGGAACGUCCUGAAAAUUUUCGGAGAAUAUUUCUGGAAAAUAGGAAAAAUACGUGUGCAAAGAUCCAUCGGAGGGGAUGGGCCAGUGGGCCACAAGCCCUGUAGCCGCCACCCCUGGUGGCGGCUAGCAAGCUUGUGGGGCCCACGUGGCCCUGCCGCCCCCAAACUCAGCUCUAUAAAUUCACUUUUGUCCCGGAAAAAAUUAGGAGAGAAGAUUUCGUCGCGUUUGUGAUACGGAGGCGCCGCCACAUCCUGUUCUUCAUCUGGAGGGCAAAUCUGGAGUCUGUUUUGGGCUCCGGAGAGGGGAAUCGUCGCCAUCGUCAUCAUCAACCUUCUUCCCUCUCCAAUUCCAUGAAGCUCUUCAUCGUUCGUGAGUAAUCUAUUCGUAGGCUCGCUGGGCGGUGAUGAGUAGGAUGAGAUCUAUCAUGUAAUCGAGUUAGUUUUGACGGGGAUUGAUCCCUAGUAUCCACUAUGUUCUAAGAUUGAUGUUGCUACUACUUUGUCAUGCUUAAUGCUUGUCACUAGGGCCCGAGUGCCAUGAUUUCAGAUCUGAAAUUAUUAUGUUGUCACCAAUAUAUGUGUGUUUUAGAUCCGAUCUUGCAAGUUGUAGUUACCUACUAUGUGUUAUGACCCGGCAACCCCGGAGUGGCAAUAACCGGAAACACUCUCGGUGAUGACCAUAGUUUGAGGAGUUCAUGUGUUCACCAAGUGCUAAUGCGUUGGUCUGGUUCUUUAUUAAAAGGAGAACCUUAAUAUCCCGUAGUUUCCUUUUGGACCCCGGUGCCACGGGAGGGAUGGACAAUACUUUUUCUCGCACCGUUGCCGGGAAAGAAUAUUUCCCGUCCACGGGCAACUUCUGGCGCCAUUGAUACGACAGUUAGGAAUAGUCUGCCGUCAACAGAUCAUUUCUGAAAUUGUUGUGAUCAUAUUACUUUGCUUUUGACACUUUGCUUGCACAUACUAAUCUUUCAGGUGUGGUUGAAUCUGACACAUUCAGCUGCUAAUACUUGAGAAUAUACUUCCGCUUCCCGUCGUGCGAACCAACAAAUUUGGGUUGAAUACUCUACCCUCAAAAACUGCCUCGAUCCCACGCGUUGGUGGGUUAUUGCAAGACAAUUUCUAAUUGUUGAGCAAUCGAGAACAACAUUUUUCUAGCCAUUGCCACGGAUCUGCUAAACAACAUUUUUCUGGCGCCGUUGCCGGGGAGGCGAUUGCUAUAUUCUCUGAGUCACUUGGGAUUUAUAUCUGUCGAUCACUAUGAAGAAUCUGAAGGAUCCAAAAUCAGAGUUUUGCCCUCAACUACGAGGGGAGGUAAGGAAUUGCCAUCUAGCUCUGCACUUGAUUCACCUUUAGUUAUGAGUAAGUUUGCGACAUCACCUCCUGCUAGAAAUCUUGAUAUGUCGCCCGUGCCUGAUGAUGUUAGAGAUGCUAUGCCUGAUACUGCUUUGCCUGAUACUGCUAGAGAUGUUAUGCGUGAUGAUGCUAGAGAUGCUAUGCCUGAUACUGCUUUGCUUGAUACUGCUAGAGAUGCUUUGCCUGAUACUGCUAGAGAUGUUAUGCCUGAUGAUACUAGAGAUGCUAUGCCCGAUACUACUUUGCGUGAUGAUGAUAUGCUUGAUACUGCUAGAGAUACUACUUUGCCUGAUGUUCCACUAGCGGUGUUCCUUGAUGCUCAUAUUGCUAGAGUUACUGCACAUGCUCGUGAUGCUUCUGAAACUGCCGAUACUAUUGAGAUAGAACCUGCUUUUGCUCCUGCUAAAUCUAGCUCUCCUAGAUAUGAAUUGCUUGAUAUACCUGAGGGUUACGUUAUGGAGGGAGAGAUAGCUGAGGAUUUUCUUGCGUGUAAGGAUGCCUGUGACGCUGAGAAAUUACUUCUCAAGUGGAAGGAAAAAAUCUCUGAAAGCUAGGAUGAAAUACGACCCGAAGUUUGCCACUUCACCUAUCUUUAUCACCGAUAAGGAUUAUGAAUUCUCUGUCGACCCUGAGAUAAUCUCUCUAGUCGAAUCUGAUCCUUUCCACGGUUAUGAGUCUGAGACGGUCGUAGCCCAUCUUACCAAACUACACGAUAUAGCCACCCUUUUCUCUAGUGAGGAGAAGAUCCGCCACUACUACAUCCUUAAGCUGUUUCGUUUCUCUUUAGAGGAUGACGCUAAAGCCUAGUUCACCUCUCUUGCUCCUGGAUGUGUGAGUAGUAGCCACCCUUUUCACUAGUGAGGAGAAGAUCCUCCACUACUACAUCCUUAAGUUGUUUCCUUUCUCUUUAAAGGAUGACGCUAAAGCCUGGUUCACCUCUCUUGCUCCUGGAUGUGUGAGUAGUCCCCAGGAUAUGGUCUAUUACUUCUGUGAGAAAUAUUUCCAUGCCCAUAAGAAGCAAGCUGCCUUGCAGGAAAUAUACAACUUUGCUCAACUCCAAGAAGAGAGUCUCCCACAAGCUUGGGGGAAGCUCAUCCAGCUACAAAAUGCUUUUCCUGAUCACCCUCUUAAGAAGAACGAGAUAUUUCAUAUCUUCUAUAACGGACUUACCGAUGCUUCUAGAGACCACCUAGACAGUUGUGUCGGUUGUGUUUUUAGGGAACGAACUAUAGAACAAGCUGAGAUCCUUCUGAAUAACAUCUUGAUCAACGAUAUUGCUUGGACUAUUCCCGAACCACAUUCUAAGCCAACUCCUAAGAAAAGAGGUAUUAUAUUCCUCUGUCCCAAAGAUAUGCAAGAAGCCAAGUAAUCUAUGCAAGAGAAAGGCAUUAGAUCUGAAGAUGUCAAAAAUCUACCACCUAUCGAAGAGAUCUAUGGUCUCGAUAACCCGAUACAAGUAGUAGAAGUGAAUUCUCUGCGUAGGUUUGAUGAGAGUCAUAUUCCUUUUGACAAACCUGCUAGCCUAUGCUUUGAUGAAUUUGACAACUUUGUUGCCAAACAACAGAGUUUCAAUGAUUAUGUUAGUAGACAUUUGGAACAAAGUACUCGUAUGCUUAGCCAUUUAAGUGCUUGUGUAUAUAGAAAUGUCAAUGAUCUGAAGCUUCUGAGUAAACAUGCCUCUAUGAUUACUACUCAGGUAGAACAAGUACUUAAAGCUCAGAAUGACUUGCUCAAUGAAUUAAAUGACAACUCUGUCAGAGUCAUUACUAGAGGAGGCAAAAUGACUCGGGAACCUUUGUAUCCUGAAGGCCAUCCUAAGAGAAUUGAUCAAGAUUCUCAAGGAAUUAAUGCUGAUACACCUAGUCAUCCUAAGGAGAAGAAGAAGGAUGAUAGAAACCUACAUGCCAGUUCACCGAAUACUGUCACACCUGAAGAACCUAAUGAUAUUUCUGCGUCUGAUGCGGAAACACAAUCUGGUGAUGAACAUGAACCUGGUGAUAAUAUGGACAGCGAUGUUCCUAAUAAUGCUCAACCUAGCAAUGAUGAGGAUGUGGAGAUUGAACCUACGGUUAAUCCUGAUAACCCACAACCUAAGAGAUACGAUAAGAAUGACUUCACUACUAGGAAGCAUGGUAAAGAAAGGGAGCCAUGGGUUCAGAGACUUAUGCCCUUUCCUCCUAAGCCAUCCAAGAAAAAGGAUGAUGAGGAUUUUGAGAGCUUUGUUGAGAUGAUAAGACCCGUAUUUUUGCAGAUGCGGUUAACUGAUAUGCUCAAAAUGUCUUCAUAUGCCAAGUACAUGAAAGAUAUCGUGACUAAUAAACGGAAGAUACCAGAUCUUGAGAUCUCCACCAUGCUUGCCAAUUACACUUUCAAAGGUGGAACUCCUAAGAAACUUGGUGAUCCCGGAGUGCCCACUGUACCUUGCUCCAUUAAAGGAAACUACGUAAGAACUGCCUUAUGUGACCUUGGAGCCGGUGUUAGUGUUAUGCCGCUCUCUCUUUAUCGUAGACUUGAAUUGGAUAAGUUGACACCCACUGAAAUUACUUCCGUGAGAAAUAUUUCCCUGCCCAUAAGAAGCAGUGCUCGAUCCCUGGCGACAGCACUUCCGGAGGGAUCCUCGCAUGGGUGUCCUCCCGCGGCGGGGGGAUGUUGAGGCGUGAAGGAUUUGUCGUUCGGUAGAACGCCCACCGUGCCGCCUGCACUGGGUCGGACGAGUCGGUCUCCUGGAUCGCCCAGAAGAGGAGCUCCACAUCCAUACACUCGUCGUCCCCCAUGAAUCGUCAGGACUCGACAAACGUCGUGUAUCAGAUGAUUCCGGUGUGGAUAUCCGACCACUCGCUCCGGUGAGGGAACCGAUCUAACACCACCUUCCUCAUCUCCGUGCACACCUUCGGCGAGUUGUUGUCGAUCAAGGGCAGCGUGACCACCGCAUGGGGUGGCGGUGUCAAUGGCCUGGCCACCUGCAUGACAGAAGCUAGCCGCCGUCUUCGAAUUUGACAACGCCCCCCAUGUGAGAAGGUCGUCGACGAACCGAGGGGAGUGAGCGAGUGAUUCGGUGGGUGGGUGGGAUCAGCGAUGAGAUUUGGUAGUUUAGUCUCCGCCUCUCUUCAUCGGAUCAGACUUUUGAAAGAGUUGGUUAAAGCAUAAAUUCAAUAUGGUAUCAAAAUGAAAAGAUGUUGAGUGUAGAAUCCUGCCAACGCAGUAUUAAGAAGGGAUUUUGUGGCCUACAUCGAUCACAAGUAUUAAGAAGGGAUGCUGAAAUACAUUGUCUGCCUCUUUUCAUCAAUUCAGACUUUUGAAUAAGUCAGAAUAACCAUGAAUUCAAUAUAGCCGUGGGAUAACAAUGUCUCUCUAUGACAAACCAGCCCCACCUGUCAUUUCUUACGCGUAAAUCAAAUCGCAUAAAGUUGGUGUCGCUUUACUGCAUAUAUAUAUAGGAUUAUUAAUAAACCGAUCGGAAGCAAAAAAUAUAUAGGUCCCCAAGAAAGCAAGCAGAGCUUUGGUGGUUCCUUUCUUUCCAAGUUCAUCGAGUUGCUUAAUCUGUCCGGGCCAGCUUGAAACAACAGAUUAGUGCUAGAUUCAGUGCAUUCGGUACCGAACUGCCCAUAAUAGAAUCGUCCCACUUGUUAUUUCCUAACCAAGGGACCGGUGUAGACCUGCCACUGCCAGCCCACAGAAUGGCAUGGAAAAAUACAAGGGAAAGAUCCAAGGCCUGUGAUUGGCCCUUGCCAAGCAGAUGCGUUCAACCGUCUCGGGAAUUGAACCCACUGCCUGCUAUCUGGACAGGCACGCAGGCAGGCAGAUGAAAACAAGUGGAUCGACCAGUGAAAUGACAACACAGUCUAGCUAAGCUAUAUGAGUCGUAGCGUUUGAUUGUGGUCGCUUCCUAAUGCCAACUCCAACGCCCUGACCCAAAUAGACAGUGAUUUUAUUCGUUUUUCGUCCGUCAUUAUGUUUGUGUCCGCUUUUUAAAUGGACAACACAUGCAUACAACGGGAAACAAGUAGCUACCAGCACUAUGAUAAUAUAAUAAUAAAGGAAAGAUGAAUGAGGUGGGCCAGCGAAUUAAAUAAACAGACAAAGGUGGGUGGAUGGAUGUAUGACAAGUCGGCCACGCGAGUCAAGUGCGGAGAGAGAGAGAGAGAGAGCGUGUGUCCGCUUCGUGACCGUGCCGGCGCAUUUCAGUCCUAAAUUUGAGCCAGAAAUGAGUUGGCGCGGACGCAAAACGAACGUGUUUUGAAAAUGGGUCGUGCGUUGGGCCAUCACUUUUGUUCGCACGGACCCAAACGGACGACGACGGAUGAAAUAGGACACCCCAUUGGAGUUGCUCUAACCGUUCCAAACGAAUAAGUAAUCAGGCAACCUUUGUGUCAAAAAGAGUAGAUUACACGAUGCUUUGUGUCAAAAGAAUGAAUUAGUUAAGGCAGAGCUUGAGACCAAGUGCGUCUAGUGGAUUAGACUAGUCAUUAGUGGCGUGCGAGGCGCCACUCAGGAAUGGCGUAUGGUGCAGGACAGCUGAAAAUGCUUGGUUUCAAAGCAGCAGCAACCCAACAAUAUGACAUUAUUCUUCUUUAUACUAAUACGGUGCAGGAAGUAUAUGCCUCUUGUUUAAUGAUGUGAUGUGGAAGUUUGGAAUCGCUUAGCCGUAGAGGGAGGGAAUAAUAACAACCGACCAACCCAGCUAGCUAGGCGUGCAAACGCGACGAGCUUCUUUCGCGGCAAAAACGUAGGAGGACAUGAAUUGUUUCUUGAACGUUUUAUGCUCCUUUUCAUUUUUCAGAUGAAGACACGCUUAGGCUUAUGGUAGGAACAGUCAUCGUCAUGAUCAUCAUCGUCGUCGCCAUCUAUGGUUUGCUAAGGGUGGACGCUAUCGAUAGGUCAACUGGAGGUGACGUGCCAGGACCAGAAAAUGAAAAAGGAAAAUUGUAUGAUAGUACAUCCUUUGAUUGUUACUCCCUUUUUUCUGGUUUAAAAGAUUUAUCUUAAUUUUGUUUUUGUUUAGUCUCAUUUCUAUUGCUCCCAUAAUUUUUAGUGACAUUUCUAUUGCUCCCAUCAUUUUUAGUGACUACAAUCACCCACCAUUAAUUCAAUUCCUCAAGCAUGUGCGAACGCGCCCGAUCAGUGAUCGGAUGUAUCCCUAUAUAUCCAUCUAUGUAGUCAUAAUCCUCACUUUUCCCUCGCAUAUCCGGUCACUUGCACAUGAUUGAUAAAGAUAAAGAAAGAGAAAGAAAAAAUAAAUAAAAAAAGAGAAAAGUUGAUCUAGGAUGAGGUAACGUCCUACGUGACAGACUGCCCGGAUGUGUCCGCGAGCACUCACAUCCUUCCUAUAUUUGAGAUGGAUAUGAGGAUUCGCGGAUAACACAGACGUAUAUGGAUGAUAUGAGUGAUGGGGUUGGAUCUUUUUUUCCUUCUCUCCUGUUCGGUCACUAAUCGGCCGCGUCCCUGGACGUUUAAGGAGGAUUUAGGGAGUCCAGUUGUAGAUGCUCUCACCUGUUUAGGGCUCUUCCAAUGCACAAUUAUUGGCACGGUUUCAUAGUUAUUUCGUUGAUGUGGCAUAUUAUUUAAUGAAGAGAGACUAGAGAAGGUUAUAGCUUAGAGCAUGGUUAAUAAUGUAGCUAAUAAUCGACUAUAUGAUUAUCUAUAGCCAAUCUAGUCAAUAUGUAUAGUAGCUAGUUAAUAAGAAGUACUACAUUAAUAACACGUAGCCAGCCUUACACUCUCAUGGUAUUUUGUAAAGCCGUGCUGCAGCUGGUUGUUAAUCUACAAUCCGUUUUUUUCUCUCUCAUCCAACUUAAUAAAAAUAUUAUAUUUAAUUAUUAUAACCUAGUUACAUCACUUUAUUAUAUUAAAUGAUUUGAACUAAUGUACAAUUCUUGUACGUGGUCAUAAGCAAAAUAAAUUGCUUACCCACAGUGCUAAAAACUGAUUAUAGGUAGGUUCACAUUAGUGAGGAACGAAUUUUUUUUAUCUGCCACUAGUGGCAGACACGAACUACAGCGGCUACUGGUAACUUGAAGUAUGUCCGCGCAGUAGUGAGUUACCCGUGGGUGGCAAAUCUAGUAGGAAACGUUUUCUUGUGUCCACCACUACUAUUUUUGUUGACAUUUUUUAAUGUUAGAGCCUUAGUGUUAUAGGUUUAGGCUUAUGGUCCAAUUAUUUUUCUACAUUAUUAAAGAUACAUCAUUGAAAAUUUCAUGCAAGUGAGUCACUUUUUACUACUCCCUCCGUUUCUAAAUAUAAGUCUUUUUAAAGGUUUCUACUAGAAGACUAUAUACGAAUGUAUAUAGACAUACNNNNNNNNNNNNNNNNNNNNNNNNNNNNNNNNNNNNNNNNNNNNNNNNNNNNNNNNNNNNNNNNNNNNNNNNNNNNNNNNNNNUAUAAUGGUAUGUAUUAAGUGUGGGAAUUUUUGUUCAAGGCCAAUCGACAAAGCAGCGGUAGGCUCACGAGAAAACCUAGCUCGUUCCUUCUCAAAACCUAGUUUCUUCCUCGGAAAUAUUUCAAUUUGUCAACAGCAAGCGUACAUGACAAAUUUUAUGAAACAUUAUCAAAACAAUUUUAUCAUAGACUCUAGAAGUCAUAUCAUGACACCAUGUCAAGUUAUCUCGGGGCUGGUAAUCCCCUCUAGAAACUUCCACAAAAUAAUCGUGAAAUGACAAAAAUAUAGUAGUGCUAGGCACUAGAAAGAACUUGCCACUAAAAACCUAUAUAAUGAGUGGCGAACAUACUCUAGACUCAGCCACUCAUACUUCGGUGAUCCGACGUGGAUAAAAAGAGUCAUUCUAAUUGGUCGAAACUACUCUCAGAGAGAUCGCGAUCCCCAUCAUCGUGUUCAUGUUCUUUCAUUUUUCCUUAAAAGCAUCUACAACCAGACCUAGCAAAUAUGACCCCUAAACGUCCGCGGAUGCAGUUACAUUCCUCAUUUUUUAACUCAUAUGUUCGAUUACUUGCACGUCAUUGAUGAAGAGGAAGAGAGAUAUAAAAAAAGAAUGAAUAAAGAAAAAGAAAAUGUGGUCCGGAAUGGGCUCGCGUCCAACGUGGCGUACUGAGCGGGCGCAUCGCGAGCCCUCAUGUCAUUCCUAUAUUUGAGAUGGAUACGAGAGUUCGCGUAUAGCCUGGGCGCAUAUGGAUGAUAUGAGGGGUCCGGUUGGGCCACUUUUUUCCUUCUAUCAUGUCCGAUCAGUGAAUGGGCGCGUCCGCGGACAUAUAAGGAAUCAUUUGAGGCAUCCGGCUGUAGAUUCUCUAACACAUCUCUCUCUAGAGCCCCCCUCACUCUCCACCCAAGCCAUCUACCUCUCAGUUCCUAGAGUUAUGGCAGCAUGGAGCUCCUCCAGCAUGAAACCAACGGCAAGAUGCUCACUCCUGGUGGAGAUCCGACCUCCUCCAACACAGAUAUGGCAGCACGGUGCUCGUCCGGGAACAUGUCGAUGGAUUCUUGCCUAGAGAAUCCUCUUGUUGCCACCAACCGAUGUUCACAGAUGAUCACCUUUCCAUCAAAACCUUUCUUGGUCAACAUCGGGUGUAAACUAAUGGCCGCUGCAUUAGGCCCUUCCGAGUGCACGGGUGCUAAUGGUGCCACAUGGGUAAGAAAGUGAUGUGGCAAAGCAAUUAAAGAGGGGAGAGAGCAUCAUGAUGAUCCCAGAAAAAAAUGAUGCUAAGCAUCUGAACCUAUGUAAAAUGACUACCAACCAAUGCAUGAAAAAGUUUAAUUAUUAAACAAUUUCAUGAGAAAAGCUUAGCAACAAAAGCUAAGUAUCUAUGCAUUGGGGAGACUGGUUGCUAAGGUUUUUAAUACACUUAGCGCCUUAUCUAAGCACCGACGCAUUGGAAAAGGCCUUAGUGCCCCAAAGUUCGUCCAACCCAGAUCCCAGUGGCGAGUUGCUCGUUUGGCCUCGUCAACUGGGUGCUCAAUCGGCACCUCCUUUCUUCACCAUCGACAGACAUCCAUGAACGGGUGUCUCCUCUUCUCAUCACCACUAGGGUGACACGGGAUGGACCAACACUGGUGCAACAAGACUCAAACCUCGCUCAUAUUCUUUUAAAUGUGGAAAAUGUUCCACUUGUAUUCUACACACUAUUUAGGCUUUGUUCGUUUAACCCCACCCCCGCCGGGAUCUGGCCCAAACCCCGUCGAUCCCUGUGGGUUUCUCCCCGGCUGGGGUCGGAUCCCGGUGUGGCUUAUAACAACCUUCGGUUAGACCCGGUCUGGCUUAUAACAGCCUUCGAUUAGACCCGGUCUGGAUUAAUCCCUUUCCAAAUCCCUCCCAAACCCCGUGGAAACCGCAGGGAAAUGACCCACGCGUCCCAUACUAUGGAAGCAAACCCGUCUCUCUCUCCCCCAAACGCUUUCACUCACCCUGACUCCCUUUCUCGAUUCGGCGACAGCGACGGCGACGGCGAUGACGACGCCGGAGAAGAAUGGACAACAGCAGCGCUACUGGUGGAGAUGGCGGCGGCGUCCUUCCCCAUCCCCUUCCCAUCCUCCUCCCUUCCCCUUCCUCCUCCCCCUCCCCUUCCUUGUCCAACCGGCGCCACCGCAGCCAAUCGCCGUGGCACGAGCUGGGCGGUGAUCCGGAGCAGCCGCGGCGCGAGCUGGGCGGUGAUCCGGAGCAACCACGGCGCGAGUUGUGGCAGCACGAACAAGGCACUGUCGGCGUGAUUCUCUCCGAACAGUAGACUAGUACGCUGUUAGUCCUCUUCUUGAUUGAAAGGUGUAACCGAACGGAAUUAAGACAAGGGAUUGUGCGGAUCUGUGGAGAAGGGGUUGGCCGGGGAUGGGUGACAUGAGGGGAUUCAUCAAAUCCCUGCAGGUGUUGGUUAUCCGUGGGGAAGGAAACCCCAACAACCGAACAAAGCCUUAGGGGUUGGAGAUUCCGGCCGCCACUGCUGACCAAUUACCAGUGGCAGGUCUAGCGCCCGCCGCUCAGGGCAUGUACAUCAGCAAAGACAGCUGGUGUCUAUAACAUAUGUACAUAUCAGCUUUAUAGACUACCAAAAAUAUAACGCUGAAACGGUGGUAUAUGUUAGGCUGGCUGUAACAGUUCAACUACCCGUAAAUAUCUAAGCCACGAACAUGGUCUAAAAGCCCACUACAUCCGACGAAUUCGUACAACGGGAAAUAAGCUAUCUGGAGGCAACGAUUUGUACGGGAAUAGACCGUCAGUAUUUGGGCAAACAUCCUCUAUAGUUUUUACGUUCAUCUCUCUCCCACGUCAUGUAUUUUCCUACGUGGCCUGUGUUACAGAACAGAACCCGCAUAAUGAAACUGCAUAAUUUGAAAAAUAAACAUUCGCGGGCAUGUUCAGAACCACAGUCAUGAUCAUAUAACACUACAUUCAUGAUCAUACAACACUACAUUCAUUAGUACUAAGGGGGAUCACCUACUGGAGCUACAACUGCACUACGCAAAAUGGAGCUCACCGGAGUCGAGCUCGUGCAGUAGUAGAUAGCCUACAUUCAGUCGUCGUCCUCGUCGUCCUCGUUGGAGGAGAUCUCGACGUAGAUGCGCUUCUGCGCAGUAGCUUCGCGGUGUCACUCCUCCACCUUGUGGCCGAAGGCGAAGGCCGACGUGACACCCUGCGCAUAGAGCACGGUGUCGAUCUUCUCCUCCCUCCGGCGGCGCUGCUGGUCCUCUUCGGCCUCCCGUGCACUCCGCGCCAGCAGCACGGGCAGGAGGCUAUCCGCCUCCGCCAGAGGGAGGAAGUCCUCCAGUCCGACGACGGCCCCGACACGUCGCUCCGGCACCGCCUCGGCCUCCGGUUCCAUCUUCACCGACGGGAGAUCUUCGAGCUCCCUUUUCACCGAUGGGACGGAGGAGGACGAGCGGGAGCUCGACGCGAUUGAGCUGCUGCCGGAGAAGAGGCGGCCGCGCGCAUGUUCGUACUCCUCUGUCUCGCGAUGGAGGAGCGACGGCGGCGUCGGAUCUGACGUGACGAGCCCUCUCGGGGUCGUCGUCCCUACGGCUACCGGAGCUGGCCAUGCGCGGUGGUGGAUUGGAGCGGCUACAGUGUCUGUUCUCGCAGGAAAAUGAGCCCAAACCCGUAUAGUCGUCGGAUUUUUUGCGGACCGGCCGUUUUGCGGGGUCUGCUAGAGUUGCUCUAAAGACUUCCUAUCUGUUAUGACAAGGUCAAGCCGCCUCUAAUAGGAAAGUGAUGGCAUUGACGCGCCGGUGGCUCAUUCGCGCAGCAGCGGUAGGGGACGUUCCACGGUCUAAGAGCAACUCUAGCAGACCCCGCAAAAGAGGCAAACACGCAAAAGUCCGGCGAGUAUGCGGGUUAGGCCCAUUUUUUCGGCCAGAACAGAGCCCGCAUACUCGCCCGGCUCGUAAAAAAAAUUGUCGCGGCCCGCAUAACGCACGCUCCGACCACUAUAUCUACGGUUCCGCAGCGCGUUUGCGGGUCGAAACCCUAUCCCCCGCCGUCGCCGAGCCCCGCGAUUCCCCACCCCUUCCGCACAUUUCUCGUCGCCGCAAUAUGGAGCUCCAGACGCGGCUCCGGCAGCAGAUCCGGCGGCGGAAGCGACCCGGAGCGCGAGCGGCGCGUCGAGUCGGACGCCGCGAGGAAGGGCGGGGCCCGGAGGUGGACCAACCGCGGCAUUUCGCCGCCGGCGAGCUUCCGCGUUCGGGAGACACAGGAGUACGACCGACGACAGGUCGUCGCGGGCUCGUCUUCAGCCGCGGGCUCCUCAUCUUUCGCGCCCCUUCUCCCUGUGAAUAGGCAGUGGUCGGAGGAGCCGGAGGACGUCGUCGCCGUCAAGGAGGAGCCCGAGGAGCUCGGCCGCCGCGGAGUCGUCGGGCCGGAGGACUUCGUCGCCGACGUGAAAGCCGUUGCGGCAGCCAUUGCCGAGCGCAGCUUGCAUGAGGAGGCGGAGCGCCGGCGCCACGACGAGGAGAUCGAAGACCUCGAGUGGCGGCAGGCAAUCGAGGCCAACAUCGCCGCCAAGGCGAAGGACGACGAGUGGCGGCGCAUCCGCCAGGAGCAGAAGGCAAUGUACAUCGACCUCGGCAGCUCCGACGAGGAGAACUGAGCUUAUUUUAUGUAAUCUAUGUAGUACGUAACCUAUGUAGUAUGUAGUAUGAACUUUCCAUGAAACUAUAUUUUCAAAUUAUACAGUUUCGUUUUACGGUUUCUGUUCGGCCGCGUUCACUUUCGACCCGUAAACAAGAUCUAAGUGAAAUCGCAAAUGCGUUUUGCGGGUUCAGAUUUUGCGGGGUGUGCUAGAGUUGCUCUAAAGAGCGUAUGCAUGAGAUAUUCCAUGCUUCUGAUGAACUACCGUAAUGUAUCUGAAUAUCUUUUGAAAGAAUUUUUUUUAUAUGUUGAAAUUAGUAGUGGGCUUUAGGCCCAUUAGAGAAUUUCAGAAAAAUCUCCAAGGGCCCAUGUAGGUGGUGGCUUGACAAGGUGGUGGGAAGUUUAGUCCCACCCCGCUAGUGGAGGAGAAGUUGGACCCCUUUAUAAGGGUCUCUCUUCCACAUGCUAUUGGAGAGUGAGAAGAGAAGGUGCCUUCGCACACUCCUCCUCCGCCGCCCGCCGCGCCGCGACGCGCCGCGGGAAUGAGCCGAGCCGACCUCAUACCUACGUGCUUAUUUUUGUCGGUCAGGAACGGAGAAUACGUAACGGACACGGCACGAUCCGAGACAUCGGCCCACGUCUCUCCGCCCAGCCGCCUUUAUAAGCAGGCUAACGCCUACCCUAUCCGUCACGAGAACCAGAUCACAUCUGCCUCACGCGUUCGUUCCUUGACUGCUGCUGCCGCCGGCGACUCCGCCCCGUUUACCGCGUACACGGUCGACGGGAGAGCAGGCCUACGAAACCCCGCCUCUCCGGUUCCAGUACGGGAGAGGGGCAAUUAGGUUUUUGGGGAGCGAUCACGCGACUGCUCGCCUCCGUCCGUCUGCUUCGUCUACAUCCGCGUUGUCCUCGUCAUCGCCAUGUCUUCACCAUCUGAGGCUGAUCGUCUCGCCCUUGAAGCUGAGAAGAAGAGGGCAAAGGAUGCUGCUGCUGCUGCUACGGCCGCGUCCAACGCCAACGCUGCUGCUACGGCCAACUGGCCUAUUGGAGGGUAUGACUUGUUUAUCCUCAUGUUCGUAUUUAUCCUAGCAGUACUACUUGUUUCCAUAGAUGUAUCCACUAUAUGCUAGUAUGUGCUAGGUUAGCUCAAGAUCAGUACAUCAUUAGUCUAGUCAAUGCCAUGCUAGUUAUUAUCUCGUGGAUUAAUAUACUUGGAAAAUUGCCUAUUUACUCAACAUUCCAAAAACCUAAUAUGUGUAGGAAUUUUUUGAGUAAUGGUUUUGCUGCUGCACUGAAACCGGACAAGUUUACCGGUACUUAUUUCAAGCGUUGGCAAACGAGAACCACCUUAUGGCUCACGGUUAUGAACGUGUUCUGGGUAGCCGGUGUCACUCCAACGGAAACGAUCUCUCCUGAACAGGAGAAGAUGUUCGCGGAGGCCACCAUCAUAUUCCUUGGAGCAGUCAUAAGCGUGAUCGGAGAUAAGCUGGUUGACGCAUACUUACAUAUGCAUGUUGCCAAAGACUUGUGGGAGGCGCUCGAAUCUAAAUUCGGGGCCACCGACGCUGGGAGUGAGAUGUAUGUUAUGGAGCAGUUCCACGAUUACAAGAUGGUUGACAAUCGUUCUGUAUUGGAACAGGCUCAUGAGAUAAUAUGCAUAGCUAAAGAACUUGAGGUUCUUAAGUGCAAUUUGCCGGGAAAGUUUAUCGCGGGCUGUAUAAUUGCUAAGCUCCCUAAUUCCUGGAGGAACUUUGCUACCACUCUGAAACAUCAGAGGCGUGAGUUCUCAGUAGAGGACAUCAUCGCCCAUCUGAGUGUUGAGCAGAACUCGAGAGCAAAGGACUCCAAUGGAAAAGCGGUGGAAAGCUCUUCUGUUGCCAAUAUGGUACAUCAGAGGAACUUCAAUUCCCACAAGCCCAAGGGAAAGAAUUCUGUCCAACACAAGACUGACUUCAAGAAGAAGGGAAAGAAGCCCGUCAAGAAGAAUAAGAAGGGAGAUGGCUGCUAUACUUGUGGUUCAGAGGAACAUUGGGUGAACAAAUGCCCAAACAAGUACAAGAAGCCGGCGCAAGACUCCAAGUCUGCCAAUAUGAUUGUGGGCAACAAUGAAAGUGGUGCAUCUGGGUACGGUAAUUUACUUACUGUAUUUUCAGUUUGUCAGUCCACCGAUUGGUGGGUUGACACGGGUGCAAAUAUUCAUGUGUGUGCUGACUUAUCAUUGUUCUCUUCUUAUCAGGCCACUGGUCGCGGGUCCGUAUUGAUGGGGAAUGGCGCGAGUGCUUCUGUUCUUGAUGUUGGCACGGUCGAUCUGAAGUUUACUUCGGGAGGAUCGUGCAGCUGAAGAACGUGCAGCAUGUCCCCGCCAUCAAGAAGAAACUCGUUAGUGGCUCCCUUCUGUGUAGAGAAGGGUUUAAGUUGGUAUUCGAGUCUAAUAAAGUAGUUGUUACGAAAUAUGGACUUUUCGUUGGAAAAGGUUAUUAAUGCGGAGGUCUGUUCCACCUUUCUCUUGCAGAUUUUUAUAAUAAAGUCGUGAACAAUAUUCAUCAGAGUGUUAAUGAAUCUGAAGCUUGGCAUUCACGUCUUUGUCACAUAAGUUUCGGUGUUAUGUCGCGGCUAGCAAAACUGAAUUUAAUCCCAACUUUCACUUUAGCCAAAGGUUCUAAGUGUCAUUCGUGUGUGCAAGCAAAGCAACCUCGCAAGCCUCACAAGGCUGCAGAGGAGAGACACUUGGCACCAUUAGAACUCAUACAUUCUGAUCUUUGUGAGAUGAAUAAUGUGUUGACUAAAGGUGGAAAGAAAUAUUUCAUGACAUUGAUAUAUGAUUUCACUGGAUAUUGCUAUGUGUAUCUGUUAAAUACUAAAGAUGAGGCUCUACACUACUUUAAAAUCUAUAAGGUAGAAGUUAAGAAUCAACUUGAAAAGAAGACUAAAAGAAAAUCGAUAAGAGGAUGCUGCUGCUACGGCCGCGUCCAACGCAACGCUGCUGCUAGGGCCAACUGGUCUAUUGAAUGGUAUGACUUGUUUAUCCUCAUGUUCGUAUUUAUCUUAACGGUACUACUUGUUUGCAUAGAUGUAUCCACUAUAUGCGUAGUAUGUGCUAGGUUAGCUCAAUUUCAGUACAUCAUUAGUCUAGUCAAUGUCAUGUUAGUUAUUAUCUCGUGAAUGAAUAUACUCAAAAAAUUGCCUAUUUACUCAACAUUAUAUUGGUGAUCGAUCGAUUGAUGGUGCUCGCAUCCUGAAAAAAAGAAAUGGAUUGAUCGUGCUCGCCGCAAGCGCGUGUACGUCCCCUGGCCGGGCCGCGUGGGCAUAGACGUACACUGUUGUUGCCCCGCUCACCCCGGGUCGAUCGGGAGUGCGGUGCGCGGGAGUCGCGGACGGGCCAACAACCAGCCAUCCAACCAGCGUUCGUGCUCGUCCAACGGCCGCCGACCGCGACGUCCGUUCCGUUCCGUUGGACCUCAUGCAUCCUCAUCUUUUUAUAUUCUUUUUCGAGUACAUCCUGAUCAUGUUAUAGGGAUUACGGGGGCACGCACCGUGGUGGCAACUCAUUCGCGCUGUCCAAAUCGAUUCUUCAAGACCGGUGACGCGGCCAUCACGUGAGCCUGCUUUGCUUCACGCAAUUACUUUCUUUCAACCCAUUGUGAGAUCCAAUGGUUUAUAUAUAGUACAUCUGCAUACAUUCAUACCUAUCGACGUAUACGCAUACGUUCUUCUUUAUAAGCACCUUCGAAUUUGAAAGACUGAGUUCAUAUAUUAUCUUGAAAUUUUAUGAAGUCGUCAUCGAUACCACGUAGUCCUAGUCCACGGAAACAGAUACUUUUAUCAAACGCGCAUCAUCAAAGAUUCUGAAAUAAAUUUAAGAUAAAUGCGGACACCAGAACUUAACCCCCUUUUUUUAAAAAAGAGAAUAUAUUAAUAUCAAGAAGAUAUCAAUUACACCCAGCCUCUGCAUCAACAAGAUGUCUAAAAACAUUCAGGAUGCACACAGCCAAAAAAAAAGACCCUUCCAUGGUGAUAUGUCAUCCGCAGUAGCAACACUCUAACCACCUUCACAAGCACCUUCGGAUUUGAAAGACUGAGUUGAUAAAUUAUCUUCAAAUUUUAUGAAGUCGUCAUCGAUACAGCGUAGUCCUAGUCCACGAAAACAGUUACUUUUAUCGAGCACGCAUUAUCAAAAAUCCUAAAAUAAAUUUAGGCUAAAUGCGAGCACCAGAACUUAAAUUCUGGUGGGUUGCGAUACCACUCCCCUUCUAACUAUCUAACCACAUGUUGAUUUGCACGCAAUUACUACUACCACAAUCAAAUCAAAUCAAAUCAAUAGUAAAUCACAGUCUCAAAUGACUCGGUUAGGGCGUCUCUAACGCCAACUCGCAAAUUUCCUACCGGAUCUGUGCAUGGACAGGGGCGAUUAGUUUGUGGACACGUCGGAAGAAUGACAUCUAACCAUAGGCGCAUGCAUUUCAUUCCAUAUUUUAACAAAUCGAACGAAAUUCAUUCAAAUCGGACGAUAUUCAUCAAAGUUGGGAGAGAAAAUAGCACAAAUCAUUCAUACAUAUCAUGCAAAUUAAGCCUAAUACAACAAAGUCUCAAAUUAAGCAGAUGUCCAGCAAGUUUUUGACCGAAAGAUCAUGUCGUCCGACACAUACAACUCGUUCAGGUUCAUCCAAUAGUGUGUGCAUGUAAAAUAUCAUCUCAUUUUCCUGUGGUAUGUCAUGACAUCACGUACAGGCAACAUAUAAUGAAUGUACCAACAUUAAGUAAAUGAAUCAAUCAACAAGUUGAGUAAGAGAAAGCAAAAAACUUAUGAACCCAUCAUUUGCCGCCUGCAAUGGCCACAUUUUCUUGAACUAACAAACCUCGUUGCAGAACUUGGUGAUGAUGUUUUGGAUCAUGUGCUAGGGAUACGACCACGACUUUACAUUGCGUGAUUGAAUGAUGUACAUGUUGUAGGACUCGAUAUCAUUUUAUGAGUGGAAUGUUUGGUGCACUUGCAGCCAGAUGGGCCCAUCUGGUCCUGCCUUCAAAAUUCGUGCAUGCUUCCAACCACGCAUGAGAUAACACCUCAUCCUCCAUGGUCGAGUAGCUCACCAUCCUUCAAACUCUAAAAACGACAUAACAUUUGAAAAUAAGCUCAAUGAUAUUUGACCGAACACCUGUCGGAUGUGGUGACCGCCAUGAAGGUCGUCGACUGACGACGGAGAGUACCUGAAUACAAACGGCUACAGGUGGAAAGCUCCACCGCAGACGGCCAGCGAGCGUGUAUAUGUUGAUUGCGGGCCUUUCUGGCGACGUACAAGGAGCAACGACAACGGAAGUGAAGGGUGGAAAACAAGGGGUAUAAAGGGGUGAUUUGUAAGAAAAUGGGACCGGGGGGAGGAUUGGAUGGGCCGGGUGUCGGAUAACGAUGUUUCUCGCGUCCGGACUCCCGCAAAGCUUUCCAUUUUGUCUUAGAGGGUGAUUGGAUACGUUUUAAUCUCAUGACUAAAAAUAGUGGGACUAAAAUUUGGUAGCCUCACCCAUGCUUGGAUCCAAAUAGUAAAGAGACUAAAAUCAAAUUAAUGAGCAUUUAUUAUCCUCCAAACUCUCCAAUCCAGAACUCGCAUGUGUUAAAGGAGAGGAGUUAAAUGAGGAGAGAGGACUAAUCCACAUUUUAGUAGGGGUACCCCUGACUAAAUUUUUUUAGUCUCAAGACUGGUUUUAGCCCUUUUUAGCCUCUUAAAGAGACUAUUUUUAAUCAGACUAAAAUAAGUCGCUUAGAUUCAAACACCCUCUAAUUUGCAAGAAAAAUCUCAUUCGGACCACAUCAUGAAUCGAUAUAGAACCGCAUUGAAUGAUUUCUAUGGUUCUGACCUUGCAGUCCAAACUGUUGCAUGAGGAGUACUACUAUAAGCUACUCAAUCAGAUUGUCACGACGGAUCCAGAACAGUUUCACUCAAGAAGCAAGAGGGAGACCGACCGCAGUGCAUGUGGGCGUGUACUUUUCUGGGCUUGGGUGUGCUGACGGCGAGCUGUGUUCCACGGCCGCGUCACGCCCUAUGUAACGACGACGACCAGCGAUGCAUUUGAUGCCUAUCUGUUUUCUUGGCCGUGACCACUGAGAGCACGCAAUGCGAUGACGCAACCGCCAAACGCUGAUGCAUGCAUGCAACGACGGACGACGGAUGACUCGCCUCCCGUCCUGUUGUCGCGUCAAUGGUUAAAUAGACAACUCGCUCGUAUUACAAAUGAAUGGUUAAAUAGACAACUCGCUCGUAUUAGAAAUGCAGUGGUUAAAUAGACAACUCGCUCGUAUUACAAAUGCAAUGGUUAAAUAGACAACUCGCUCGUAUACAAUUUGGGAGGGCCAAAGCCAAAACAUGAACAACCAACAGGAAAAAUAAUUAACCUUUUUCCUUAUCUAAGACAUGCAUAGCACUACCUUUCUAUCUAGAUAAUUUAUAAUUAGAAAAAAAAUUAAUCUAAUUCUUUCCGACUACAAUUAUUUAGAUAUAGGAAAAAACUAAUCCAAUUCUUUCCGCCACUUGUAUGCACAUGAUGAACAAGUUGCCGUCUACGAGGGCACAUACAAGACGAAAGCAUACACGCAAAGCUACUUUGCAUAACUGAUAAUGUGAGGAUAUACGUAUUGUGCAACUAAAAAAGGCAUAUAUGUGCGUACAAACGCAUGGGCAUACACACUAGGGCCAAUGCAACCCAUCCACAUCCACGCACCCACCCA